RNAcentral lists this ribosomal RNA (468 nucleotides) under uncultured bacterium. Its description in RNAcentral is "partial 16S ribosomal RNA". It matches the Rfam family "Bacterial small subunit ribosomal RNA", at positions 28 to 507 of the family's 1533-position model. The record is from RNAcentral.
GACGAACGCUGGCGGCGUGCUUAACACAUGCAAGUCGAACGGAAAGGCCCUGCUUUUGGGGGGUGCUCGAGUGGCGAACGGGUGAGUAACACGUGAGUAACCUGCCCUUGACUUUGGGAUAACUUCAGGAAACUGGGGCUAAUACCGGAUAGGAGCUCCUGCUACAUGGUGGGGGUUGGAAAGUUUCGGCGGUUGGGGAUGGACUCGCGGCUUAUCAGCUUGUUGGUGGGGUAGUGGCUUACCAAGGCUUUGACGGGUAGCCGGCCUGAGAGGGUGACCGGCCACAUUGGGACUGAGAUACGGCCCAGACUCCUACGGGAGGCAGCAGUGGGGAAUAUUGCACAAUGGGCGGAAGCCUGAUGCAGCAACGCCGCGUGCGGGAUGACGGCCUUCGGGUUGUAAACCGCUUUCGCCUGUGACGAAGCGUGAGUGACGGUAAUGGGUAAAGAAGCACCGGCUAACUACGUG